AGAUGUGAGGGCGAUCUGGCUGCGACAUCUGUCACCCCAUUAAUUGCCAGGGUUGAUUUGGCUGUGUCUGGCUAGGCGGGUAUCCCCUUCUUCCCUCACCUCUCCAUGUGCAUCCCUCCCGAAGUUGCAUGGGGGAGCCGGGGGGACUACCACCCCCACCCUCAUGGAAGAGGACUGUUUCUCCCCCAUG
This 190-nucleotide small nuclear RNA is filed under the name Heterocephalus glaber (naked mole-rat). RNAcentral's name for it is "7SK RNA". It matches the Rfam family "7SK RNA", at positions 1 to 188 of the family's 331-position model. From Rfam's summary of the family: 7SK was discovered as an abundant small nuclear RNA in the mid-70s but a possible function has only recently been suggested. The record is from Rfam by way of RNAcentral. Lineage: Eukaryota; Metazoa; Chordata; Mammalia; Rodentia; Bathyergidae.